GGGGGGGGGGGGGGGGGGGGGGGGGGGGGGGGGGGCGGGGGGGGGGGUGGGGAGCGGGCGCCGUGGACGGGAGCGGCGGGCGGGUGAGGGACGCGGGGGGAACCUACCGAUAAGACUGGAAUAACUCCGGGAAACCGGGGCUAAUGCCGGAUAACAUUUAGAACCGCAUGGUUCUAAAGUGAAAGAUGGUUUUGCUAUCACUUAUAGAUGGACCCGCGCCGUAUUAGCUAGUUGGUAAGGUAACGGCUUACCAAGGCAACGAUACGUAGCCGACCUGAGAGGGUGAUCGGCCACACUGGAACUGAGACACGGUCCAGACUCCUACGGGAGGCAGCAGUAGGGAAUCUUCCGCAAUGGGCGAAAGCCUGACGGAGCAACGCCGCGUGAGUGAUGAAGGUCUUCGGAUCGUAAAACUCUGUUAUUAGGGAAGAACAAAUGUGUAAGUAACUGUGCACGUCUUGACGGUACCUAAUCAGAAAGCCACGGCUAACUACGUG
RNAcentral lists this ribosomal RNA (497 nucleotides) under uncultured bacterium. RNAcentral's name for it is "partial 16S ribosomal RNA". It matches the Rfam family "Bacterial small subunit ribosomal RNA", at positions 38 to 507 of the family's 1533-position model. The record is from RNAcentral.